RNAcentral lists this small nucleolar RNA (89 nucleotides) under Pteropus vampyrus (large flying fox). RNAcentral's name for it is "Small nucleolar RNA SNORD112 (ENSPVAG00000028897.1)". Lineage: Eukaryota; Metazoa; Chordata; Mammalia; Chiroptera; Pteropodidae. The record is from RNAcentral.
AGGACCAAUAAUAAGAAUAUGUUAGGAACCAAGAAUUUUGGUUAAUAUGAUUCUCUGUCCUGGAAACCCAAAGAAAAUGGAGGUCUCUC